GCUUGCAGGAACCCCGGUGCUCAUGUGU
RNAcentral lists this non-coding RNA (28 nucleotides) under Homo sapiens (human). Lineage: Eukaryota; Metazoa; Chordata; Mammalia; Primates; Hominidae. The record is from RNAcentral.